RNAcentral lists this ribosomal RNA (585 nucleotides) under uncultured bacterium. RNAcentral describes it as "partial 16S ribosomal RNA". It matches the Rfam family "Bacterial small subunit ribosomal RNA", at positions 355 to 1375 of the family's 1533-position model. The record is from RNAcentral.
UGGGGAAUUUUGGACAAUGGGCGAAAGCCUGAUCCAGCAAUGCCGCGUGUGUGAAGAAGGCCUUCGGGUUGUAAAGCACUUUUGUCCGGAAAGAAAUCCUUGGCUCUAAUACAGUCGGGGGAUGACGGUACCGGAAGAAUAAGCACCGGCUAACUACGUGCCAGCAGCCGCGGUAAUACGUAGGGUGCAAGCGUUAAUCGGAAUUACUGGGCGUAAAGCGUGCGCAGGCGGUUUGCUAAGACCGAUGUGAAAUCCCCGGGCUCAACCUGGGAACUGCAUUGGUGACUGGCAGGCUAGAGUAUGGCAGAGGGGGGUAGAAUUCCACGUGUAGCAGUGAAAUGCGUAGAGAUGUGGAGGAAUACCGAUGGCGAAGGCAGCCCCCUGGGCCAAUACUGACGCUCAUGCACGAAAGCGUGGGGAGCAAACAGGAUUAGAUACCCUGGUAGUCCACGCCCUAAAACGAUGUCAACUAGUUGUUGGGGAUUCAUUUCCUUAGUAACGUAGCUAACGCGUGAAGUUGACCGCCUGGGGAGUACGGUCGCAAGAUUAAAACUAAAUGAAUUGACGGGGUCAUAGCUGUUUCCU